Molecule: ribosomal RNA, 93 nt
Filed under: Acinetobacter baumannii
Lineage: Bacteria; Pseudomonadati; Pseudomonadota; Gammaproteobacteria; Moraxellales; Moraxellaceae
Also listed under: 2 other names
Source: RNAcentral
CCUGGCGGCGAUAGCGCGGUGGUCCCACCUGACCCCAUGCCGAACUCAGAAGUGAAACGCCGUAGCGCCGAUGGUAGUGUGGGGUCUCCCCAU